GAGGCCAAAGAAUGACCGGGUGGUAACGUGCGUGUGUAAGCGCAGAGGCUGGAGGGAAGAAGGUAACCGGCUGGGAGAAAACCACUCCGCUUAUCUUUUAGGCCACCUACGCCUGAAGCCAACCCUGUUAGGUGGAGAUAAUGGGCGGUCUGACUCACCGCAAUCUGGCAGAUAAAGAGGAUACAACGCAGAGCGUACCAGCGCGCCCAGGUGGUCAAAAUAGUAACAUUUGCUCAUAUCCUCUUUUCAGGCAGCGACCUACCUGCUCCCAUAACUCUAAAUCUAAGGUUCCUUGAUCAGGAAACCAAGGGCAUCCCUGCCGAAUUAAAAGCAUAAGCUUGUGUAGAGCUCCAGGCUCUACAGUGCACUGGAUAGCCUUAAGUAGCUGUUGCACUGUUUUAAAAAAUACUUUCUGUUCUUUGGUCAUUUCCUGACCCAUGAUGACCCAACCCCUGGUAUUUUACGCGUGGGUCCCGUCCUCCUAAUGGCAAUCAGGACUGUCCCUUACUGGGAUUCCCCAAAAAUUAAGGAGUUUUCCUCCUUCACGUGCAACUUCAAGGCGAUCACUUCGGGCGCACCACUUGUAGAGUUUAUAGCUUGCAGUGAACGCCCAGAAUGAGUUCUCAGACAAUUCCAGCUGAGCGGAGCGGCGGACCACUCUUCUGAGAGAGUGUCACCCCAGAAUCCAUCCGCCAAGUAUUUAUUGAAAGGGCUUGUUAAACUACAAACAUCCACUAGAUGGCCUCUUGAGGUCGGGUCGUGACACACCUGUGGCCUUCUAAAAGCAUUCAAACCACAUUCUCAGGAGGCUGUUUUCAGCGUUCCUCAUGACACACUCCACUCCUUGUCCUGUUUUCAGGGUCAAGGAGUUACAUUUCCAUGCACAAAUAACAUACACACAGUGCCUCCGUCUUUUUCCAUGCCCCGACCUCAAAUGCUUUGUAUACAAGCUUGAAUUUGUUGCCAUGCACCCCCAACAACCCUCUGCCCAUUUGGCUGGCAAAGCAACUGGUUGUGCCCUCAAUAAACAGUACUGACUUUGGGAA
Molecule: long non-coding RNA, 1046 nt
Filed under: Homo sapiens (human)
Lineage: Eukaryota; Metazoa; Chordata; Mammalia; Primates; Hominidae
Description: HSALNT0293529
Source: RNAcentral